GAUGAACGCUGGCGGCGUGCUUAACACAUGCAAGUCGAACGGAAAGGCUCCUGCUUGCAGGGGUACUCGAGUGGCGAACGGGUGAGUAACACGUGGGUGAUCUGCCCUGCACUUCGGGAUAAGCCUGGGAAACUGGGUCUAAUACCGGAUAGGACCACAUUUUGGAUGGUGUGGUGGAAAGUUUUUCGGUGUGAGAUGAGCUCGCGGCCUAUCAGCUUGUUGGUGGGGUAAUGGCCUACCAAGGCGUCGACGGGUAGCCGGCCUGAGAGGGUGUACGGCCACAUUGGGACUGAGAUACGGCCCAGACUCCUACGGGAGGCAGCAGUGGGGAAUAUUGCACAAUGGGCGCAAGCCUGAUGCAGCGACGCCGCGUGGGGGAUGACGGCCUUCGGGUUGUAAACUCCUUUCGCUAGGGACGAAGCGCAAGUGACGGUACCUGGAGAAGAAGCACCGGCUAACUACGUG
This 465-nucleotide ribosomal RNA is filed under the name uncultured bacterium. Its description in RNAcentral is "partial 16S ribosomal RNA". It matches the Rfam family "Bacterial small subunit ribosomal RNA", at positions 28 to 507 of the family's 1533-position model. The record is from RNAcentral.